Syngnathus acus (greater pipefish) is the source of this 1510-nucleotide long non-coding RNA. RefSeq lists it as uncharacterized. The transcript has 2 exons. The record is from RefSeq and is a predicted model, not a curated record. NCBI's taxonomy places the organism in Eukaryota, Metazoa, Chordata, Actinopteri, Syngnathiformes, Syngnathidae.
UGGGCUGGGCUGGGCUGGGCUGGGCUAACCCUAACCCUAACCCUAGCCCGGCCGCCUCACCUUUCAUAACAACACUGACACGACUGUCUCUCCUAUUUGGAUUGGAACCUGAAGACACUCGAGCUUGUUUUCAUACAUUCUGCAUAUCGGAGAGAAGUGACUCUUUGAUCGAUACAUUCCUUUAUGGGCUGUGAUUAAGAAAACUUCAACCUGGCAUAAAAACACAGUGGGAAUGUCGCACCGUAAAACCUUUUCCAAUUUCUGUCUGGGGACUUUGAAAGGCGAGUGAGAAAAAAACAACUGAGUCGCACUGUAAAACCUUUUCCAAUUUCCGUCUGGGGACUUUGAAAGCCAAGUGAGAAAAGAGAAAAAAAAAAAAAAAAGAGUCUGGCGAUUUCAUUUUGAAUCAUUUCAACUCUGACUUGUAACACAUUUGCACAUCCUCGUUCAGCAUUUGGUGACUGACACGGCUCCUGUCAUCGAGUAAGCUAUCACUCGCGGCGGGCCUUUUCAUUCAAAUGAAAAAUGACGUGAUCGCCAUGAUGUCACAUGAGACUUUGUGGUCGUAUGUUACACCUUUGAUAAUUUCUUGCUUUUGAAACCUUUCCAUUGACUAAUCUCAUCAUCGGUGGCCUGUGCUAAUAUUCUUGGCAACAUUUUGGACUGGUGCAGUGUAUUUGGCCUCCAAGGAGACAGCCGUUCCCAACUUUGCUCCAUCUUGUUUGGCGUGCGAGUUCAUUGGCUCAUUUGUUCUCGUGAGCGUGGGCGAGAAGGUGCGCCGCCAAAAGCUAAAUAUAGAACUGGCUGCUUAUUGGCUGGCACCGGACAGAGUCUAUUAUGAGAAAAGCCCUCGGCGGCGGCGCUGCCAAAAAGAAAGUGCCUCUGGCCUGUGGCACUGAGUCAAUGAGCAAGAGGUUAUGUGAUUGUUGCCUCCAUUUUCCGUCUGUCUGUCUGUCGAGCAGAAUUUUGCGUGUCAAGUGUGAUCCAAGGUGUGAUGGAAUGAAGGAAUUAGUAGCGCACUUCUAAAUCAGGGUGGUUCUUAACUAAGGUGAAAGCUACGUGGAAGCAGAAAGAUGAGCAAAUAAAAAACUGUUGGGAUUGGCUGGAGCAAGGCAUCCGUGGUUUCCACAAGAAAAAGAUGGCUGGCUGGCUGGCUGGCUGGCUGGCAUGUGUUCAGCGAGGCCGUAGAAAAUAACUGCAAACAGCUUCUGGAAAGACGUGUGAUGAUGGUUUGUGUCCGUUCAUCCGCAAGUGAGGCCAGACAAUGACGUUGGACGAGAUGGCCUGCUUUCCCGGGGUCGGGGCGAGGCCACUGGGACAGUCAAGUUACACCCUCAUCUGACCUCAUGACGGCGUUCCGUCGUCACUGGCUUCGCCGCCGCCGUGCAGCCGGCCACUUGCAGUGCCGGCAACCGUCGAGACCAUGCGUGACAAGAAGAAUGUACCUGGGCCACUUUGACUUGCUUAAAGACCCAAAUUGGUCAGAAAAAUAAACAUCUCAAGAAACAUG